RNAcentral lists this ribosomal RNA (429 nucleotides) under uncultured archaeon. RNAcentral describes it as "bacterial SSU rRNA". It matches the Rfam family "Archaeal small subunit ribosomal RNA", at positions 474 to 903 of the family's 1478-position model. The record is from RNAcentral.
UACCUGCAGCUCGAGUGGUAACCGCUAUUAUUGGGCCUAAAGCGUCCGUAGCCGGUUUGGUAAAUAUCUGGGUAAAUCGUGAGGCUUAACUUCACGAAUUUCGGAUAGACUGCCAGACUUGGGAUCGGGGGAGGUCAGAGGUACUCCAGGGGUAGCGGUGAAAUGUUGUAAUCCUUGGAGGACCACCGGUAGCGAAGGCGUCUGACUAGAACGAGUCCGACGGUGAGGGACGAAGCCCUGGGGCGCAAACCGGAUUAGAUACCCGGGUAGUCCAGGGUGUAAACGAUGUGGGCUUUGUAUUGGAGGUCCCACGUGGGCGUCCAGUGCAGAAGAGAAGUUGUUAAGCCCACCGCCUGGGAAGUACGGUCGCAAGGCUGAAACUUAAAGGAAUUGGCGGGGGAGCACAACAACGGGAGGAGCGUGCGGUUU